UACGUAGGGGGCAAGCGUUGUCCGGAUUUAUUGGGCGUAAAGAGCGUGUAGGCGGCCAUGUAGGUCCGUUGUGAAAACUCGAGGCUCAACCUCGAGACGCCGAUGGAAACCAUGUGGCUAGAGUCCGGAAGAGGAGAGUGGAAUUCCUGGUGUAGCGGUGAAAUGCGCAGAUAUCAGGAGGAACACCGGUGGCGAAGGCGGUUCUCUGGGCAUUACCUGACGCUGAGGAGCGAAAGUGUGGGGAGCGAACAGG
RNAcentral lists this ribosomal RNA (253 nucleotides) under uncultured bacterium. RNAcentral's name for it is "partial 16S ribosomal RNA". It matches the Rfam family "Bacterial small subunit ribosomal RNA", at positions 524 to 776 of the family's 1533-position model. The record is from RNAcentral.